AGCCAUUGGUCUAUUUUGUUUCUACUGUUCUUUGAUGGUGUUGUUGGACCUUUUGAUUUGCAGAUGAAAGAAAGAGAAGUCCCUAAGUAGAAACUACAAGGGCCAAGCAGAAGAUUAUACCAUGUAAGGACAUCAUCUGUCCCUGGACUCUAACGGAAGAUCAUGCAAAUAGUGGACUGAAGUCAUCCCAGCCUUCAAAAGAGCCACCGUGGGGGGGGGGAAAUCACAGAAAGGGAUAAAAAGCUGUCUUUCGUAACCCAAUCUGUAUCUUUCUGUGUGACUUCCCUAUCCUGCCUGUCCUAACACCAUCUCGGCCGGAAAGACCCAUAGAAUAGAAACAGAGUAUAGAAAUGAAGAAGGGGAAGAGGGGAAAAAAUGGAGGAAACGCACAAGUUGUGUGUGUCUACAACUAGCAGAGAACAACUCCAACGUGUCUCUGAUACAGCUGGAGGAAGGGAUGCAACAAACUCAGGAACCAGAAUGCCUUGCACAAGAAACAAGACAGAGGGAAGCUUCUGGAGGAUAGAGAGCUUCAGCACAUUAAAAAACAGACUAAUUGGGCAGGACUUCUGAUCCCUGCCAUGAACAAUGAUGUGGAUAUGCUGCCAGAAAGCUGCAGUCAACAUGGAAGCUGACCAUCUACUGCAGUUCCUUCCGAACAUGAAGUGUGAAGAGUGCAUGUGUAUAACUCAAUCAGAAUGGCCCUCAGUGCGAUUGUCCAGAAUAGAAUACUGCGCUCUGGGGAGCUCACACCUGUGGUCCCAGCACUUUGAGAGGUCAAGGUGAGCAGAUCACCUCGGGGCAGGAGUUCAAGACCAGCCUGGCCAAUAUAGCAAAACCCAUCUCUAAUCAGAAUGCAAAAAAUUAACUGGGUAUGGUGGCAGGUGCCUGUAGUCCCAGCUACUCUGGAGAAUUGCUUGAACCUGGGAGGUGGAGGUUGCAGUGAGCCGAGAUGGUGCCAUUGCAUUCCA
Molecule: long non-coding RNA, 971 nt
Filed under: Rhinopithecus bieti (black snub-nosed monkey)
Lineage: Eukaryota; Metazoa; Chordata; Mammalia; Primates; Cercopithecidae
Description: lncRNA (ENSRBIG00000045202.1)
Source: RNAcentral